GGGAUGUCAAAUACGUCCUAAGGAACCAUAUUCACCACCCGCCAUGACCAAAUUAUGUUUUUUGGCAUUUUACGGCCAUAUAACUGGAAUUCCACGCGAGUCCCAAAUUUUCGUGUGCUAUAUAGCCCACGCUUUCCGCCGUGGGCCCGGGACCCCGGAUCUGGAUCGCCUAAAAAUUUUCCGGGAUAUCAAAUACUGCCUAAGGAAACAUAUUCACCGCCUCUCCAUGACCAAAUUAUGUUUAUUGGCAUUUUACGGCCAUAAAACUGGAAUUCCGCGCGAGCCCCAAAUUUUUGUGUGCUAUAGCCCACACCUUCCGCCGUGGGCCCGGGACCCCGGACCCGAAUCGCCUAAAAUUUUUCUGGGACAUCAAAUAAGGCCUAAGGAACUAUAUUCACUGCCCCGCCAUGACCAAAUUAUGUUUUUAGCAUUUUAUGGCCAUAAAACUGGAAUUCCGCGCGAGUCCCAAAUUUUUGUGUCCUAUAGCCCACGCCUUCCGUCAUGGCCCCGAGAACCCGGACCCGGAUCACCUAAAAAUUUCGGGACAUAGAAUACGGCCUAAGGAAUAAUAGUCACUACCUCGCCAUGACCAAAUUACGUUUUAUGGCAUUUUACGGCCAUAAAAUUGGAAUUCUGCACGAUUCUCAUAUUUUCGUGUUCUAUAUCCCAUGCCUUCCGCCGUGGGCCCGGGACCCCGGACCCGGAUUGCCUAAAAUUUUUCCGGUUUUCGAAUACGGAUUAAGCAACCAUAGUCACCGCCCUGCCAUGACCAAAUUACGUUUUUUGGCAUUUUACAACCAUUAAAUUGGAAAUUCACGGGAGUACCAAAUUUUCAUGUGCUAUAGCCCACGCCUUCCGCCGUCGGCCCGGAACCCUGGACCCGGAUUACCUAAAAAAUUUUCGGGACGUCGAAUACGGUCUAAGGAACCAUAGUAACUGCCCCUCCUUGACUAGAUUACGUUAUAUGGCAUUUUACGGCCAUAAAACUAGAAUUCCGCACGAUUCUCAUAUUUUUGUGUUCUAUAUCGCACG
This 1032-nucleotide long non-coding RNA is filed under the name Nicotiana tabacum (common tobacco). RNAcentral's name for it is "long non-coding RNA (NTAB_LNC010764)". Lineage: Eukaryota; Viridiplantae; Streptophyta; Magnoliopsida; Solanales; Solanaceae. The record is from RNAcentral.